Molecule: long non-coding RNA, 949 nt
Organism: Paramormyrops kingsleyae
Lineage: Eukaryota; Metazoa; Chordata; Actinopteri; Osteoglossiformes; Mormyridae
Source: RefSeq, a predicted model, not a curated record
GUAAGGGCGACGUUUAGACUGGUGUGGGCAAGUGUCUGGUGUCAAUUUGGGCCAACGUAAGCGGAGGUAUUUGCGAGGCUUGUGGGCGAAAGGUAUCGAGUACAGGGCGGUUGGAGUGGUGUGUGGGGAGAGUGAAUCUGGUCUCCGGAUUGGGUAAAGUAAACUUAGGUUGCGGUAAUGUGAUUAGCUGGAGAGGUGCUUAUGGGGUUUAUGAUUACUUCUAGGCUGUGCUGCCCUGCCGCUGUACCUCGCGGCUUUACCCUGCUGCUUGACUGAUGCCCUGCUCUGCUGUGUGGCUGCUGUCCUGUUCUGCUGUGUAGCUGCUGUUUGGUGGCCAUUUGGUCUUGUUUCUCUAUUACGUUUUGCCUGGUUGCUUUGCUCCUACCGUCUUGCUAUUGUUCCGCCCUGCUGCUUUGCCUUGGUUUGUCUUAUACAUUUUAUUCGGACCACGGGUUUUAUUUGAUAUUUGUGGUUUUUUUAUAUGUUUGGGUUAUUUUAUGGAUGUAUUUUAGGAUAAUUAAGGAUUGUUUCUUUGUUUUGUUUGAUGUAUAAAUUUAUUGAGUUUGUGUUUGGUUGGAUGUUUUCUUUUUGCUUUGAUUCGGAUUGUUUUCUGUGGUUCUUGUCUGGGUGGCCUUGUGGGCUGGGGGUGGCCGUAUACUCUGUGGGGUGGAAGCCUUGGGUAUAAGAGGCCGCUCGGGUUUGUGUGUGAUUCGUGCGGUGUGGGUUUAGUUUUAGGUUUGUGGUAAUGCUGUGAUUUGUUAGCGCUAGCGGCCGGGUAGUACCUUUUGAACGUGUGGUUGUGUCCCCUUCUAGCGCAUAUUGCCUCCCUGCCUGGGGGAUUUACGAGGAAUCAAGACUCCGCAGCGUGUUUUAUUUGUUUUACGUUUAUUUCUGUAUUGUUAAGGUUGUUUUAUCUUUGCUGUGGUGUGAAUAAAAGUGUGUGUUUUUA